This 165-nucleotide non-coding RNA is filed under the name human gut metagenome. RNAcentral's name for it is "Lysine riboswitch". It matches the Rfam family "Lysine riboswitch aptamer". From Rfam's summary of the family: Riboswitches are metabolite binding domains within certain messenger RNAs that serve as precision sensors for their corresponding targets. The record is from RNAcentral.
ACUGGUAGAGGUGCGCUAAUUAUUAAUAGUCAGCAGGAUGCCGCGGCAGGCAGAUGAGAACUGAUGAAAGGAUGCAGCGCCGAAGAAGUGAUACGGCCGAUGUAUUAUUUCUGGUUAUGUGGUUAAGAGCCAUAUGACUGUCAUCGUAAGAUGGAGAGCUACCUA